AUACGGAGGUUGCAAGCGUUAUUCGGAAUCACUGGGCGUAAAGGACGCGUAGGCGGGUUGGCAAGUCAGAUGUGAAAUCCUACAGCUUAACUGUAGAACUGCAUUUGAAACUGCUAACCUAGAGUAUGGGAGGGGGAGAUGGAAUUAGUGGUGUAGGGGUAAAAUCCGUAGAUAUCACUAGGAAUACAGAAAGCGAAGGCGAUCUCCUGGAACAUAACUGACGCUAAGGCGUGAAAGCGUGGGGAGCAAACAGGAUUAGAUACCCUAGUAGUCC
RNAcentral lists this ribosomal RNA (274 nucleotides) under uncultured bacterium. RNAcentral's name for it is "partial 16S ribosomal RNA". It matches the Rfam family "Bacterial small subunit ribosomal RNA", at positions 523 to 796 of the family's 1533-position model. The record is from RNAcentral.